Molecule: transfer RNA, 65 nt
Filed under: Anadara antiquata
Lineage: Eukaryota; Metazoa; Mollusca; Bivalvia; Arcoida; Arcidae
Description: tRNA-Cys
Source: RNAcentral
GGCCCGUUGGUCGAUAAGGCGUCAAGUUGCAGCCUUGAAGAUGUAAAUAAACAUUACACGGGUCU